UGGGCUACGGGCUGUCCAGGGGAGUGGCUGCGGCCCCCGACCUCCCGUAGCUCACUU
This 57-nucleotide non-coding RNA is filed under the name Sus scrofa (pig). The record is from RNAcentral. Lineage: Eukaryota; Metazoa; Chordata; Mammalia; Artiodactyla; Suidae.